AGAGCGAACGCUGGCGGCAGGCCUAACACAUGCAAGUCGAACGGACCCUUCGGGGUUAGUGGCGGACGGGUGAGUAACACGUGGGAACGUGCCUUUUGGUUCGGAAUAGCUCCUGGAAACGGGUGGUAAUGCCGAAUGUGCCCUUCGGGGGAAAGAUUUAUCGCCAUUAGAGCGGCCCGCGUCUGAUUAGCUAGUUGGUGAGGUAAUGGCUCACCAAGGCGACGAUCAGUAGCUGGUCUGAGAGGAUGACCAGCCACAUUGGGACUGAGACACGGCCCAAACUCCUACGGGAGGCAGCAGUGGGGAAUCUUGCGCAAUGGGCGAAAGCCUGACGCAGCCAUGCCGCGUGAAUGAUGAAGGUCUUAGGAUUAGUAAAAUUCUUUCACCGGGACGAUAAUGACGGUACCCGGAGAAGAAGCCCCGGCUAACUUCGUGCCAGCAGCCGC
This 446-nucleotide ribosomal RNA is filed under the name uncultured soil bacterium. RNAcentral describes it as "bacterial SSU rRNA". It matches the Rfam family "Bacterial small subunit ribosomal RNA", at positions 26 to 518 of the family's 1533-position model. The record is from RNAcentral.